GGCCAGGUAGCUCAGAUGGUAGAGCAGCGGACUGAAAAUCCGCGUGUCGACGGUUCGAUUCCGCCCCUGGCCA
This 73-nucleotide transfer RNA is filed under the name Gemmatimonadota bacterium. RNAcentral's name for it is "tRNA-Phe". It matches the Rfam family "tRNA". Rfam says of the family: Transfer RNA (tRNA) molecules are approximately 80 nucleotides in length. Their secondary structure includes four short double-helical elements and three loops (D, anti-codon, and T loops). Further hydrogen bonds mediate the characteristic L-shaped molecular structure. tRNAs have two regions of fundamental functional importance: the anti-codon, which is responsible for specific mRNA codon recognition, and the 3' end, to which the tRNAs corresponding amino acid is attached (by aminoacyl-tRNA synthetases). tRNAs cope with the degeneracy of the genetic code in two manners: having more than one tRNA (with a specific anti-codon) for a particular amino acid; and 'wobble' base-pairing, i.e. permitting non-standard base-pairing at the 3rd anti-codon position. Lineage: Bacteria; Pseudomonadati; Gemmatimonadota. The record is from RNAcentral. RNAcentral also lists the same sequence under 2 other names.